AAAUAAGUUUGUUAUUGGUAUGAGCUUUCAUGUGCAUGCACACUUAUUCAGAAGUAUCUGAAGAAGUGUGCAUGCACACAAAAGCUCAUACCAAAAACAAACUUAAAAAG
Non-coding RNA from Podarcis lilfordi (Lilford's wall lizard), 110 nucleotides. NCBI's taxonomy places the organism in Eukaryota, Metazoa, Chordata, Lepidosauria, Squamata, Lacertidae. The record is from the annotation of a GenBank genome assembly.